GAUGAACGCUGGCGGCGUGCCUAAUACAUGCAAGUCGAGCGAACAGACGAGGAGCUUGCUCCUCUGACGUUAGCGGCGGACGGGUGAGUAACACGUGGAUAACCUACCUAUAAGACUGGGAUAACUUCGGGAAACCGGAGCUAAUACCGUAUAAUAUAUUGAACCGCAUGGUUCAAUAGUGAAAGACGGUUUUGCUGUCACUUAUAGAUGGAUCCGCGCCGCAUUAGCUAGUUGGUAAGGUAACGGCUUACCAAGGCAACGAUGCGUAGCCGACCUGAGAGGGUGAUCGGCCACACUGGAAGUGAGACACGGUCCAGACUCCUACGGGAGGCAGCAGUAGGGAAUCUUCCGCAAUGGGCGAAAGCCUGACGGAGCAACGCCGCGUGAGUGAUGAAGGUCUUCGGAUCGUAAAACUCUGUUAUUAGGGAAGAACAAAUGUGUAAGUAACUAUGCACGUCUUGACGGUACCUAAUCAGAAAGCCACGGCUAACUACGUG
This 497-nucleotide ribosomal RNA is filed under the name uncultured bacterium. RNAcentral's name for it is "partial 16S ribosomal RNA". It matches the Rfam family "Bacterial small subunit ribosomal RNA", at positions 28 to 507 of the family's 1533-position model. The record is from RNAcentral.